GUGGAACAAUAUGGAAAAUAGUCAAAGAUGGAGAAGAAGAAAUUGUUUAUGCAGUUGACUUCAACCACAAGAGGGAGAUCCAUUUAAAUGGAUGUUCCCUGGAAAUGCUAAGCAGGCCUUCCCUACUUAUCACAGAUUCAUUCAAUGCUACAUAUGUACAGCCUAGAAGAAAACAGAGAGAUGAGCAGCUUCUGACAAAUGUCCUGGAAACACUUCGAGGUGAUGGAAAUGUGUUAAUAGCAGUGGACACAGCAGGCAGAGUUUUGGAACUUGCUCAACUUCUUGAUCAGAUUUGGAGGACUAAAGAUGCAGGAUUGGGUGUUUACUCAUUGGCACUCCUAAAUAAUGUCAGUUACAAUGUGGUGGAGUUUUCUAAGUCCCAGGUAGAAUGGAUGAGUGAUAAAUUGAUGAGAUGUUUUGAAGACAAAAGAAAUAAUCCGUUUCAGUUUCGCCAUCUCUCUUUAUGUCAUGGUCUUUCUGACUUGGCCCGUGUACCUAGCCCUAAAGUUGUACUUGCCAGCCAACCUGACCUGGAAUGCGGAUUUUCAAGGGAUCUCUUUAUUCAGUGGUGUCAGGACCCUAAAAACUCAAUCAUUCUAACCUACAGAACUACUCCUGGGACUUUAGCACGUUUCCUAAUUGAUAAUCCUUCUGAAAAAAUUACAGAAAUAGAGUUGAGGAAACGUGUGAAGCUUGAAGGGAAAGAACUUGAAGAAUACUUGG
This 723-nucleotide long non-coding RNA is filed under the name Homo sapiens (human). Its description in RNAcentral is "long non-coding RNA NONHSAT168812.1". The record is from RNAcentral. Lineage: Eukaryota; Metazoa; Chordata; Mammalia; Primates; Hominidae.